GAGAUGGACAGGGAGUGGGUUGUAGAGUAGGUGGACAGACAGAGCAUGUAGAAGAGGUGGACAGAAAGGGGGGAAGGAGGAGAUGGACAGAGAGUGGGAUGUAGAGGAGGUGCACAGACAGAGGGUGUAGAGGAGAUGGACAGGGAGUGGGUUGUAGAGUAGGUGGACAGACAGAGCAUGUAGAAGAGAUGGACAGAAAGGAGGGAAGGAGGAGAUGGACAGAGAGUGGGAUGUAGAGGAGGUGCACAGACAGAGGGUGUAGAGGAGAUGGACAGGGAGUGGGUUGUAGAGUAGGUGGACAGACAGAGCAUGUAGAAGAGAUGGUCAGA
Long non-coding RNA from Schistocerca serialis cubense, 329 nucleotides. RefSeq lists it as uncharacterized. The transcript is spliced from 3 exons. NCBI's taxonomy places the organism in Eukaryota, Metazoa, Arthropoda, Insecta, Orthoptera, Acrididae. The record is from RefSeq and is a predicted model, not a curated record.